Molecule: transfer RNA, 72 nt
Filed under: Ictidomys tridecemlineatus (thirteen-lined ground squirrel)
Lineage: Eukaryota; Metazoa; Chordata; Mammalia; Rodentia; Sciuridae
Description: Spermophilus tridecemlineatus (thirteen-lined ground squirrel) tRNA
Rfam family: tRNA
About the family: Transfer RNA (tRNA) molecules are approximately 80 nucleotides in length. Their secondary structure includes four short double-helical elements and three loops (D, anti-codon, and T loops). Further hydrogen bonds mediate the characteristic L-shaped molecular structure. tRNAs have two regions of fundamental functional importance: the anti-codon, which is responsible for specific mRNA codon recognition, and the 3' end, to which the tRNAs corresponding amino acid is attached (by aminoacyl-tRNA synthetases). tRNAs cope with the degeneracy of the genetic code in two manners: having more than one tRNA (with a specific anti-codon) for a particular amino acid; and 'wobble' base-pairing, i.e. permitting non-standard base-pairing at the 3rd anti-codon position.
Source: Rfam by way of RNAcentral
GGAGUUGUGGCUCAGCAGUAGAGCGCUCACCUAGCAUGUGGGAGGCACUGAGUUCGAUCCUUAGCAUCACAU